Molecule: non-coding RNA, 698 nt
Organism: Gavialis gangeticus (Gharial)
Lineage: Eukaryota; Metazoa; Chordata; Crocodylia; Gavialidae
Source: the annotation of a RefSeq genome assembly
GAGGAAUGAGGCUCCCUUGAGCUUUUCCUCUAGGGGCAGCCUCUGCCUUUGGGGGCUCUUCCUUUUGGCUAUAGGGGUUUCAUGCUGUGCUCUAACACUUCGCCACUGAAUUUUGGACAAGGGACACGACUGACUGUGUUAGAGGAUGACCUCAAUAUCACAGAGCCUGAAGUGACCGUCUUUGCCCCAUCACAAAAGGAGAUCAAAGAGAAGAAAAAGGCUACGCUGGUGUGUGUGGCCACAGGCUUCUACCCCGACCACAUCAACGUGACCUGGAAAGUCAAUGGUAAUGAGAGGACAGAAGGUGUGGGGACAGAUGAGCAUGCCACCCGGGACAACCAAACACGGAUGUACUCCCUGACCAGCCGCCUGAGGAUCCCCAGCCAGGAGUGGUUCAACACCAAGAACAUUUUCCAGUGUCUUGUCAGCUUCUAUGGCAAAGAGUCAACACCAGUACAAUAUCCGAAAAACAUUCAAGGUGUAGCAGGUUGCAGUAUCACUGAAGAGUUGUACCAGAGAAGUUCCAGAACUGGGUAUUUUGUGUACCUGAUGCUUUUUUGCAAGAGUAUCUUGUAUGGGUUGUUUGUGAUGGGGCUUAUACUACGGAGCAAGAUGCACUAGAAGCUCUUUUUCAUAAAGAAGCAGGCCAGAGCCUUCAUACAGGGCUACAUAAUGGGGAAGAUGCAUGCACACCAGCC